CCCCUAGACGUUCUGGGCUGCACGCGCGCUACAAUAAUACGCACAGCGAGUAUCACCGAGCUCGAAAGGGCAAGGUAAACAAUAGAAAAGGUACUGUAAUGGUUAUAGAUCCUUGUAAUUAUUGAUCUUCAACGAGGAAUUCCUAGUAAGUAUGUGUCAUCAUCACGCACUGAUUACGUCCCUGCCCUUUGUACACACCGCCCGUCGCUCCUACCGAUUGGGUGAGCCGAUGAAACUCUCGGAUGUAGGCUAUUCGUAGCCCGCAGAAGAGAUUUGAAUCGUAGCGCUUAGAGGAAGGAGAAGUCGUAACA
Molecule: ribosomal RNA, 311 nt
Filed under: uncultured eukaryote
Lineage: Eukaryota
Description: partial 18S ribosomal RNA
Rfam family: Eukaryotic small subunit ribosomal RNA
Source: RNAcentral